RNA transcript from Setaria italica (foxtail millet), 1734 nucleotides. It is a transcript of the gene named nucleolar GTP-binding protein 1, with no coding region annotated. The record is from RefSeq and is a predicted model, not a curated record. NCBI's taxonomy places the organism in Eukaryota, Viridiplantae, Streptophyta, Magnoliopsida, Poales, Poaceae. The transcript has 15 exons.
CGAUAUCCGUUGCAGUACGACGGACUUGAGGAGCGCUCUCGCUUGCUGCCGGCGGCAACUGCAGCGAUGCGAGCCGCGGCAGGAGGCCGCGCGGUGUUCCACCUCCAGCACCUCCGCCCGCGCCCUCCAUGCCGAGCUUCUCCUGCUCCCGCCACCGCGGUCCUCCCCCACUCCGCGCCCGCGAGCCGCGCCUACCACCGCCGCCUCCCCAAAGGCUUUUUACCUACUCUGGAGCCGGGGGUUUCAGCAGUCUACUUGUGUCGGCGAGUACACUCCACAACAUGUAGUGUUUCAUUGGAUGGCAGAUUACAGGGAGAGUUAGAUGGUGCAAAGGGAGAAGUGCGAAAACAUGAAACAGUUGGUGCAUUUCAAAAAAUACCAAUGGUGAUGCCUGCAACCGAUAUACUUAUGUCAGCACAAAGGAAAUCAAGAAAUGUGCCACCGACAAAGGGCAUAGCAAAUAUCGCUAAGCGCGAAAGGAACAAAGGUGCGAAACAACUUGAUGCCUUAAUGAAAGAACUUUCAGUACCACUGAGAACAUACACAGAAAACUUCCCUAAGAGGAGAGAUUUGCAUCCUUAUGAGAGGUCUCUCAUUGAGUUGACUUUUGGGGAGGGUUAUUAUGAGCAGGUUCUAGGACGAGUCGAUGCUCUCAGGAAAAGGAUUACUUCUGUUGGAAAGCAACAUGCUUCAGUGUGUGCUAAGUCAACAACAAAACGUGAAGCAGAGGAGCGCCUCGCUGAGGGCAAAAAGAGACUUGAAGAAGCUUUCCAGCAUGGACAGCAUGCCAUUGAUGAUUUAGUAAAUGUAGCAAAGGCUUUGCGUUCUAUGCCUGUUGUUGAUCUACAUAUACCGACACUAUGUCUAGUUGGAUCGCCCAAUGUGGGAAAGUCAUCAUUAGUCCGCAUAUUAUCAUCUGGAAAGCCUGAGGUCUGCAGCUAUCCAUUCACGACAAGAGGGAUUCUAAUGGGUCACAUUGUAUCCAAUCAUGAGCGUUUUCAGGUUACGGACACUCCAGGACUACUUACGAGGCAUGAUGAUGACAGAAAUAACAUAGAGAGAUUGACACUUGCUGUCCUGUCUUAUCUACCAAUCGCUGUCCUGUAUGUUCACGAUCUAUCCGAAGACUGUGGAACCUCAGUAGCCGAUCAGUACACAACGUACAAGCAUAUGAAGGAAAGGUUUGGUGAUCGCCUAUGGAUCGAUGUUAUAUCCAAAUGCGAUCUUUUGGGCAAGAAAGCGCCUAUAAGCUUUGACGACGCUGAUGAAGAUGUGACACAAUACAGAAAAUUCGGUCCAGAAGGUGCCCUCCGGGUAUCUGUGCAGAGCGAAAUCGGCGUUAAAGAGCUAAAAGAAAGAGUGCACCAGCUCCUGACCUCCCAAAUGGCUCGGAUCAAAGCUGACAAGGCGGAGCAUGAAACACAGGAAGCUGGCGUUAGUGUUCCUUGGCGAAGUUAGAGAAUGAAUACUUGCGCACGUUCGAUGUUUAUGUAAAUUUUCCACUCAUGAGGACCGCAACUAAUUUCAGGGAGUUGUUCCUUUCAAGACCAGAUUUGAUCUCCGUGAGCUCGUUUUUCAAACCAAGCAAAAUUUUGACUUGCUCCUCAAGUUGAGCAUUCCUUGCCUCGAGCUGCAUUACCCUACCACUCUGGACUAGCAUGCUUUUUUGUCUAGCCAUGGCCUUCUCCCUAGCAACUUUCUCAAUGAUUACAGACUACAGAAUCAAAGCACCCA